This is a non-coding RNA of Microcebus murinus (gray mouse lemur), 2049 nucleotides long. The record is from RefSeq and is a predicted model, not a curated record. Lineage: Eukaryota; Metazoa; Chordata; Mammalia; Primates; Cheirogaleidae.
GUAACCCAGAAAAUGUCAACCAUCUCUUGCGCGGAGGACAAUUGGGGAAGCCGUGAAAUUGGAUCCUUCUCUGCACCGUGCUUCUCUGUCUCACAAGGACAGGUGCUCACUGACGGCGGAAAACAAAGCACGAGGGCCGCAACCAUUGCUGGCGAGGAAAGACACGCUAAAAGGAUGCAGAGCACCUUAGCCAGGUGAGUAGCAGCUGAACCUGGCGCUUUCCAAAUCGCCGACCUUCAGCCCACGGUGUUCUUCCCUUCGGGUGCACUGUUUACAAGCCGGGGCUUUUAAGAGCAUCCGACAGAAAUGGGAGGAGGAGAGAGAGCUAACAUUUUCCAGAAGCCGGAUUUCCGAGACAAGGUAGUUAACCUUUGGUGCGGCAAUAUGGUGCUAAAUAAAAACGAGAGACAGAGCUGGUCUCCUAACUUGGCUUUUCGUAAGCUUUCUGCAAAGAGCAAGUUACUCCUUGGCUCUAAGCUUGGUUUCCACGUUGGUAAAACAGGGAUAAUGAUGCCUGCCUCACGGCAUUCGGGAAGGUAUAUAUAUAUAAAAUGUUCAAUGGUUACCAGCUGUAGACAACUCCUUAAGCUGAGUUUGGCAGUGCAGAUGCUGGAAGCAGAUAGGAUAGGAAAAAAAUAAAAAAGUGGAAGGGAAAGCUAGGAAGGACAGACAACAGAAAGCUUGACUGAGAUGCCAUGCUGCACUUUGGUCUUCUGGCUCUGAAAUUGUGGAAUCCCAGCCUCAUCCCUGUUAGAAAUGCAAAUUCUCCCUGCACCCCUACCCCUCCAUGCUAGACCUCCUGAAUCUGGAACCGUUGCUGGUUCCAGAAAGCCCUGUUUUAACAAGUCCUCCCUCUGGGGGGUUCUGAUGAGCACUCAAGUUCUUUUUGUUGUUGUUGUUGUUGGAUGCUAUGGAAAUAUCUUAACUGUGGUCAUCAUUUGUAACAAGACAUUUAAGAAUAUCAGGUAUGCAGUUAUCGGGCAUGACUUUUUUUACUGCAAUAAAGUGUAUUUUUAAAAGCACAGGUGGCAGGCUUCCGUCACGGUAAAAAUCAGCAAGAAGAAAGCACAGCCCCCGUCUUGGGAAAACUGGAUAACUAGGUAGGUUUGUAAGAAAAUAUUUUAGACAUGGGGAUUUUAGACAAGGCAGGGCUUUAGUUAUUAACCUGGCAUAGGAGACUGGAGGCGGUGGGAUAGGGCGGGAUAGGGCUCGUCCAGUCCGAAUUCCCACGAUGAGCUGAAACACAGCUGUGGUGGAAUCAUGUUGGCAGUUUACCUGAAUUGCACCCAGGUGAAGAACUAGCUGUACCUAGAGCCGGCAUUGGGCCCCACUGACUUUAUGGAAGAGAACUACGUGGUCCCAGUCGCUGGGCAAGUCAUUCCAGCAUUGCCCUCAUUUCUCAUCUUCCUCACCAGAGAGACCCUGACCUGUCCAAGUUCAUCCUCAUGAUGCUGCCCACCCAUCUGCCUUCUGCCUUCACCCUCUGGAUGUUAUUACUAAUUGCUAUCUCUGGGUCUUCUUUUCAGUGUGUGUAUGUUGACAUAUUUUUUUUUUUUUACUUUGGGUUGGUUUUCAGCUGCUUUCUCAUCUCUCAGGCCAGAAUGGUGCUUGGAGAACCCCAAGUACAGGUCAGGCCAUUAGCUGCUGCAUCUUAAGAGACACGCCUUCUGGACACAUCCCCAGCUGGGACCUCACACAAUCCGUCCCAGUCUCUUCAAUCUCUCCCUCGAUUCAGAGCUUCUAUUACUCACAGGGUAAACAGCAUCUUAUUAAGACAUCUGGCUAAUGUCAACAGCAUGUCUGCAUGCAAACGCCACAGCAAAUCCAUCCACCAACAAAAUGAAUGUGUACAAAGAGCAAGCAGACCUCCACACAAAAAAGAAAUUAAAAAAAAAAAAUAGAUCAUAGAAAAAAAAAAUAGAACUGCAAGGAACUGAAAGUAAUUUUUAGGCUCUACCUGGAAAUGCUCACAUGAGGACACGAGCCUGGUAGGUUGGUCACAUUUUAUCAGCUCACCUGUGCAUUUACGAAAAGAAAGUAAACGGAAUU